RNAcentral lists this transfer RNA (85 nucleotides) under Paracoccaceae bacterium. RNAcentral describes it as "Rhodobacteraceae bacterium tRNA-Leu". It matches the Rfam family "tRNA". Rfam says of the family: Transfer RNA (tRNA) molecules are approximately 80 nucleotides in length. Their secondary structure includes four short double-helical elements and three loops (D, anti-codon, and T loops). Lineage: Bacteria; Pseudomonadati; Pseudomonadota; Alphaproteobacteria; Rhodobacterales; Paracoccaceae. RNAcentral also lists the same sequence under 4 other names. The record is from RNAcentral.
GCGGGCGUGGUGGAACUGGCAGACACGCGAGAUUUAGGUUCUCGUGCCGCAAGGCGUGGGGGUUCAAGUCCCUCCGCCCGCACCA